RNAcentral lists this ribosomal RNA (98 nucleotides) under uncultured bacterium. RNAcentral's name for it is "partial 16S ribosomal RNA". The record is from RNAcentral.
CACCGCCCGUCACAUCACGAAAGUGGGUUGUACUAGAACGUCUGUGCCCUGACCCGCAAGGGGAGGAGCGGCCCAAGGUAUGACUCAUGAUUGGGGUG